This 71-nucleotide transfer RNA is filed under the name Loxodonta africana (African savanna elephant). It matches the Rfam family "tRNA". From Rfam's summary of the family: Transfer RNA (tRNA) molecules are approximately 80 nucleotides in length. Their secondary structure includes four short double-helical elements and three loops (D, anti-codon, and T loops). Lineage: Eukaryota; Metazoa; Chordata; Mammalia; Proboscidea; Elephantidae. The record is from Rfam by way of RNAcentral.
GCAAUGGUGGUUCAGUUGUAGAAUUUUCACCUUCCAUCCAGGAAACCUGGGUUUGAUUCCCAGCCAAUGCA